RNAcentral lists this ribosomal RNA (406 nucleotides) under uncultured bacterium. Its description in RNAcentral is "partial 16S ribosomal RNA". It matches the Rfam family "Bacterial small subunit ribosomal RNA", at positions 30 to 526 of the family's 1533-position model. The record is from RNAcentral.
AUUGAACGCUGGCGGCAGGCCUAACACAUGCAAGUCGAACGAGUGGCGGACGGGUGAGUAAUGUCUGGGAAACUGCCCGAUGGAGGGGGAUAACUACUGGAAACGGUAGCUAAUACCGCAUACCAUCGGAUGUGCCCAGAUGGGAUUAGCUCGGAGGGGGGGUAACAGCUCACCUAGGCGACGAUCCCUAGCGGGUCUGAGAGGAGGACCAGCCACACGGUAACUGAGACACGGUCCAGACUGCUACGGUAGGCAGCAGUGGGGAAUAUUGCACAAUGGGCGCAAGCCUGAUGCAGCCAUGCCGCGUGUAUUGAGAAGGCCUUCGGGUUGGAAAGUACUUUCAGCGAGGAGGCGUUACUCGCAGAAGAAGCACCGGCUAACUCCGUGCCAGCAGCCGCGGUAAUAC